Molecule: small RNA, 28 nt
Filed under: Bombyx mori (domestic silkworm)
Lineage: Eukaryota; Metazoa; Arthropoda; Insecta; Lepidoptera; Bombycidae
Description: ovarian small RNA-22247
Source: RNAcentral
UAGCACUGAUUUUACUACUUUCCAAAAA